CCAUCAUAAGAGGUCUAGCCUGCCCAGUGACUUCUGUUCAACGGCCGCGGUAUCCUAACCGUGCGAAGGUAGCGUAAUCACUUGUUUCCUAAAUAGAGACCAGUAUGAAAGGCAUCACGAGGACUAAACUGUCUCCUUUCUCUAAUCAGUGAACCUAAUCUCCCCGUGAAGAAGCGGGGAUUUUUUUAUAAGACGAGAAGACCCUAUGGAGCUUAAAACAUCACACACCUGUCACUCUAUUUAAAAUACCCCGAUAUUCCCUCCCCCGUGACACACUGACUAUAUGUUUUUGGUUGGGGUGACCGCGGAGAAAAAUUUAUCCUCCACAAUGAAAGGGAUCUUCCCUGAACAGUAAGCUACAACUUUAUGUACCGGUAAACUGACAUCCAUUGACCCAAUAUAUUGAUUAACGAACCAAGUUACCCUAGGGAUAACAGCGCAAUCCACUUUGAGAGCCCCUAUCGACAAGUGGGCUUACGACCUCGAUGUUGGAUCGGGGUAUCCUAGUGGUGCAGCCGCUACUAAAGGUUCGUUUGUUCAACGAUUA
This 547-nucleotide ribosomal RNA is filed under the name Pristimantis curtipes (Intac robber frog). RNAcentral's name for it is "partial 16S ribosomal RNA". It matches the Rfam family "Bacterial large subunit ribosomal RNA", at positions 1840 to 2590 of the family's 2925-position model. Lineage: Eukaryota; Metazoa; Chordata; Amphibia; Anura; Strabomantidae. The record is from RNAcentral.